AUCCAGCUGACAAGUCCCAAACAGCACGAAACGCACGUCCUGAAU
This 45-nucleotide non-coding RNA is filed under the name Schistosoma mansoni. The record is from RNAcentral. Lineage: Eukaryota; Metazoa; Platyhelminthes; Trematoda; Strigeidida; Schistosomatidae.